GUGAAUAAACUUGUGUGGGUUGUUGCUGGCUUCCUUGGAAGUAUGUGCACACCUGCCAUUGUUUCAUUCCCCUUCCACCUGUGCACAUUUUGUAGACCAAGCCGUCGCUUUCGGGUUGCUUGCAAUCCCGGUGAUGAGGAUUUGCUCCGGCUGUCCUUGGACGGGUGUGGUCUAUGUCUUUAUCAACUCUGUAUGUUACUGAAUGUUUGUUCUGGGUUUUGAACCCAUAAAAUCCUAUA
This 239-nucleotide unclassified non-coding RNA is filed under the name uncultured Pluteus. RNAcentral's name for it is "sequence contains ITS1". Lineage: Eukaryota; Fungi; Basidiomycota; Agaricomycetes; Agaricales; Pluteaceae. The record is from RNAcentral.